This is a small nucleolar RNA of Panthera pardus (leopard), 124 nucleotides long. The record is from Ensembl. NCBI's taxonomy places the organism in Eukaryota, Metazoa, Chordata, Mammalia, Carnivora, Felidae.
AAGCAACACUCUGUGUCAGAUGAUCGAAGUUGUCUGAUGCAAUUUGAGCUUGCUAUAGCAAGAAAGUCUAACCUAUUCCAGUGGUCUCUUCCAUGAGACCGACUGUUAUAUAGACUUAAACAGC